RNAcentral lists this ribosomal RNA (776 nucleotides) under uncultured Neocallimastigales. Its description in RNAcentral is "partial large subunit ribosomal RNA". It matches the Rfam family "Eukaryotic large subunit ribosomal RNA", at positions 24 to 629 of the family's 3401-position model. The record is from RNAcentral. Lineage: Eukaryota; Fungi; Neocallimastigomycota; Neocallimastigomycetes; Neocallimastigales.
GUAGUCUCGCACAGAUGCAUAUCAAUAAGCGGAGGAAAAGAAACUAACAAGGAUUCCCUUAGUAACGGCGAGUGAAGCGGGAAGAGCUCAAAUUUGAAAUCUUCAAGGUUUUACCUUGACGAAUUGUAGUUUAAAGAAGUGUUUUCUGUUGAAGUUUUGGUAAAAGUUCUUUGGAAUAGGACAUCAUAGAGGGUGAGAAUCCCGUAUUUGACCAUUAUUUUCAGCUGUGUGAUACACUUUCAAAGAGUCGGAUUGUUUGGGAAUGCAGUCCAAAAUGGGUGGUAAAUUUCAUCUAAAGCUAAAUAUUGGCGAGAGACCGAUAGCGAACAAGUACCGUGAGGGAAAGAUGAAAAGAACUUUGAAAAGAGAGUUAAACAGUACGUGAAAUUGUCAAAAGGGAAGCGUUUGGACACCAGUGUUGUUUUCUCGAAAAUCAAUUAAAAAGAGUUAGAUUUUGUUGUGUAUUGACCUUAACAGCUUGCAUUUCAAUUUUCUUGCUUUUUUUAAUGCACUUUUCGUUUAACAAGUCAACAUCAGUUUCUUUUGUUGUAAAAAGGUCAUUGGAAGGUGGCUUUCUUUUCGGAGAAAGUGUUUAUAGCCUUUGACUCCUGCAAUCGGAGAGACUGAGGUCUGCAGCGUAGAUCCUUCGGGGUUAAUGUACAUUUGUGCUAAGUUAUAGCAUUUUAUAGACAACUUGUUGACUAUGAUUAGUCUUGUAGCUUACUCGCUUAUGCUAUUUUACCUACGCUUAGGAUGUUGAUGUGAUACUGCGAGCA